GGAGGUAUAGCUGGAGUGUUAAAGUGCAUGCUUAGCAUGCAAGAGGUCCCAGGUUCAAUUCCCAGUAUCUCUU
RNAcentral lists this transfer RNA (73 nucleotides) under Camelus bactrianus (Bactrian camel). It matches the Rfam family "tRNA". Rfam says of the family: Transfer RNA (tRNA) molecules are approximately 80 nucleotides in length. Their secondary structure includes four short double-helical elements and three loops (D, anti-codon, and T loops). Further hydrogen bonds mediate the characteristic L-shaped molecular structure. tRNAs have two regions of fundamental functional importance: the anti-codon, which is responsible for specific mRNA codon recognition, and the 3' end, to which the tRNAs corresponding amino acid is attached (by aminoacyl-tRNA synthetases). tRNAs cope with the degeneracy of the genetic code in two manners: having more than one tRNA (with a specific anti-codon) for a particular amino acid; and 'wobble' base-pairing, i.e. permitting non-standard base-pairing at the 3rd anti-codon position. Lineage: Eukaryota; Metazoa; Chordata; Mammalia; Artiodactyla; Camelidae. RNAcentral also lists the same sequence under 2 other names. The record is from Rfam by way of RNAcentral.